UUGACCUCGGAUCAGGUAGGAAUACCCGCUGAACUUAAGCAUAUCAAUAAGGGCGGAGGAA
This 61-nucleotide ribosomal RNA is filed under the name Fusarium graminearum. Its description in RNAcentral is "partial 28S ribosomal RNA". Lineage: Eukaryota; Fungi; Ascomycota; Sordariomycetes; Hypocreales; Nectriaceae. The record is from RNAcentral.